Molecule: ribosomal RNA, 2927 nt
Filed under: Salmonella enterica subsp. enterica serovar Senftenberg
Lineage: Bacteria; Pseudomonadati; Pseudomonadota; Gammaproteobacteria; Enterobacterales; Enterobacteriaceae
Description: 23S ribosomal RNA
Rfam family: Bacterial large subunit ribosomal RNA
Source: RNAcentral
GGGUUGUGAGGUUAAGCGACUAAGCGUACACGGUGGAUGCCCUGGCAGUCAGAGGCGAUGAAGGACGUGCUAAUCUGCGAUAAGCGCCGGUAAGGUGAUAUGAACCGUUAUAACCGGCGAUUUCCGAAUGGGGAAACCCAGUGUGACUCGUCACACUAUCAUUAACUGAAUCCAUAGGUUAAUGAGGCGAACCGGGGGAACUGAAACAUCUAAGUACCCCGAGGAAAAGAAAUCAACCGAGAUUCCCCCAGUAGCGGCGAGCGAACGGGGAGGAGCCCAGAGCCUGAAUCAGCAUGUGUGUUAGUGGAAGCGUCUGGAAAGGCGCGCGAUACAGGGUGACAGCCCCGUACACAAAAGCGCAUGUGCUGUGAGCUCGAUGAGUAGGGCGGGACACGUGGUAUCCUGUCUGAAUAUGGGGGGACCAUCCUCCAAGGCUAAAUACUCCUGACUGACCGAUAGUGAACCAGUACCGUGAGGGAAAGGCGAAAAGAACCCCGGCGAGGGGAGUGAAAAAGAACCUGAAACCGUGUACGUACAAGCAGUGGGAGCACAGGUUUACCUGUGUGACUGCGUACCUUUUGUAUAAUGGGUCAGCGACUUAUAUUCUGUAGCAAGGUUAACCGAAUAGGGGAGCCGGAGGGAAACCGAGUCUUAAUUGGGCGUUAAGUUGCAGGGUAUAGACCCGAAACCCGGUGAUCUAGCCAUGGGCAGGUUGAAGGUUGGGUAACACUAACUGGAGGACCGAACCGACUAAUGUUGAAAAAUUAGCGGAUGACCUGUGGCUGGGGGUGAAAGGCCAAUCAAACCGGGAGAUAGCUGGUUCUCCCCGAAAGCUAUUUAGGUAGCGCCUCGUGAAUUCAUCUCCGGGGGUAGAGCACUGUUUCGGCUAGGGGGCCAUCCCGGCUUACCAACCCGAUGCAAACUGCGAAUACCGGAGAAUGUUAUCACGGGAGACACACGGCGGGUGCUAACGUCCGUCGUGAAGAGGGAAACAACCCAGACCGCCAGCUAAGGUCCCAAAGUCAUGGUUAAGUGGGAAACGAUGUGGGAAGGCCCAGACAGCCAGGAUGUUGGCUUAGAAGCAGCCAUCAUUUAAAGAAAGCGUAAUAGCUCACUGGUCGAGUCGGCCUGCGCGGAAGAUGUAACGGGGCUAAACCAUGCACCGAAGCUGCGGCAGCGACGCUGAUGCGUUGUUGGGUAGGGGAGCGUUCUGUAAGCCUGUGAAGGUGGCCUGUGAGGGUUGCUGGAGGUAUCAGAAGUGCGAAUGCUGACAUAAGUAACGAUAAAGCGGGUGAAAAGCCCGCUCGCCGGAAGACCAAGGGUUCCUGUCCAACGUUAAUCGGGGCAGGGUGAGUCGACCCCUAAGGCGAGGCCGAAAGGCGUAGUCGAUGGGAAACGGGUUAAUAUUCCCGUACUUGGUGUUACUGCGAAGGGGGGACGGAGAAGGCUAUGUUGGCCGGGCGACGGUUGUCCCGGUUUAAGCGUGUAGGCUGGUUUUCCAGGCAAAUCCGGAAAAUCAAGGCUGAGGCGUGACGACGAGGCACUACGGUGCUGAAGCAACAAAUGCCCUGCUUCCAGGAAAAGCCUCUAAGCAUCAGGUAACACGAAAUCGUACCCCAAACCGACACAGGUGGUCAGGUAGAGAAUACCAAGGCGCUUGAGAGAACUCGGGUGAAGGAACUAGGCAAAAUGGUGCCGUAACUUCGGGAGAAGGCACGCUGACACGUAGGUGAAGUGAUUUACUCAUGGAGCUGAAGUCAGUCGAAGAUACCAGCUGGCUGCAACUGUUUAUUAAAAACACAGCACUGUGCAAACACGAAAGUGGACGUAUACGGUGUGACGCCUGCCCGGUGCCGGAAGGUUAAUUGAUGGGGUCAGCGCAAGCGAAGCUCCUGAUCGAAGCCCCGGUAAACGGCGGCCGUAACUAUAACGGUCCUAAGGUAGCGAAAUUCCUUGUCGGGUAAGUUCCGACCUGCACGAAUGGCGUAAUGAUGGCCAGGCUGUCUCCACCCGAGACUCAGUGAAAUUGAACUCGCUGUGAAGAUGCAGUGUACCCGCGGCAAGACGGAAAGACCCCGUGAACCUUUACUAUAGCUUGACACUGAACAUUGAGCCUUGAUGUGUAGGAUAGGUGGGAGGCUUUGAAGUGUGGACGCCAGUCUGCAUGGAGCCGACCUUGAAAUACCACCCUUUAAUGUUUGAUGUUCUAACGUGGACCCGUAAUCCGGGUUGCGGACAGUGUCUGGUGGGUAGUUUGACUGGGGCGGUCUCCUCCUAAAGAGUAACGGAGGAGCACGAAGGUUGGCUAAUCCUGGUCGGACAUCAGGAGGUUAGUGCAAUGGCAUAAGCCAGCUUGACUGCGAGCGUGACGGCGCGAGCAGGUGCGAAAGCAGGUCAUAGUGAUCCGGUGGUUCUGAAUGGAAGGGCCAUCGCUCAACGGAUAAAAGGUACUCCGGGGAUAACAGGCUGAUACCGCCCAAGAGUUCAUAUCGACGGCGGUGUUUGGCACCUCGAUGUCGGCUCAUCACAUCCUGGGGCUGAAGUAGGUCCCAAGGGUAUGGCUGUUCGCCAUUUAAAGUGGUACGCGAGCUGGGUUUAGAACGUCGUGAGACAGUUCGGUCCCUAUCUGCCGUGGGCGCUGGAGAACUGAGGGGGGCUGCUCCUAGUACGAGAGGACCGGAGUGGACGCAUCACUGGUGUUCGGGUUGUCAUGCCAAUGGCACUGCCCGGUAGCUAAAUGCGGAAGAGAUAAGUGCUGAAAGCAUCUAAGCACGAAACUUGCCCCGAGAUGAGUUCUCCCUGAGACUUAGAGUCUCCUGAAGGAACGUUGAAGACGACGACGUUGAUAGGCCGGGUGUGUAAGCGCAGCGAUGCGUUGAGCUAACCGGUACUAAUGAACCGUGAGGCUUAACCUUACAACGCCAAAG